RNAcentral lists this ribosomal RNA (328 nucleotides) under uncultured eukaryote. RNAcentral describes it as "partial 18S ribosomal RNA". It matches the Rfam family "Eukaryotic small subunit ribosomal RNA", at positions 1470 to 1796 of the family's 1831-position model. The record is from RNAcentral.
CCCUUAGAUGUUCUGGGCCGCACGCGUGCUACACUGAUGCAUUCAACGAGUCUAAAACCUGGUCUGAUAGGGCUGGGUAAUCUUUUGAAAGUGCAUCGUGAUUGGGAUAGAUGAUUGCAAUUCUUCAUCUUCAACGAGGAAUGCCUAGUAAACGCAAGUCAUCAGCUUGCAUUGAUUACGUCCCUGCCCUUUGUACACACCGCCCGUCGCUCCUACCGAUUGAGUGAUCCGGUGAGGCUCUGGGACCUGGACGGAAAGAGCGUUUCGCUUGUUCUGUUUGGGAAACUUGGUCGAACCUUAUCAUUUAGAGGAAGGAGAAGUCGUAACA